ACGGGAGGCAGCAGUGGGGAAUAUUGCACAAUGGGCGAAAGCCUGAUGCAGCGACGCCGCGUGAGCGAAGAAGUAUUUCGGUAUGUAAAGCUUUAUCAGCAGGGAAGAUAAUGACGGUACCUGACUAAGAAGCACCGGCUAAAUACGUGCCAGCAGCCGCGGUAAUACGUAUGGUGCAAGCGUUAUCCGGAUUUACUGGGUGUAAAGGGAGCGUAGGCGGUUUUACAAGUCUGAUGUGAAAGCCCGGGGCUCGACUCCGGUACUGCAUUGGAAACUGUAGAACUAGAGUGUCGGAGGGGUAAGUGGAAUUCCUAGUGUAGCGGUGAAAUGCGUAGAUAUUAGGAGGAACACCAGUGGCGAAGGCGGCUUACUGGACGAUUACUGACGCUGAGGCUUGAAAGCGUGGGGAGCAAACAGGAUUAGAUACCCUGGUA
RNAcentral lists this ribosomal RNA (434 nucleotides) under uncultured Pseudobutyrivibrio sp. Its description in RNAcentral is "partial 16S ribosomal RNA". It matches the Rfam family "Bacterial small subunit ribosomal RNA", at positions 341 to 792 of the family's 1533-position model. Lineage: Bacteria; Bacillati; Bacillota; Clostridia; Lachnospirales; Lachnospiraceae. The record is from RNAcentral.